AGAGUGAACGCUGGCGGUAGGCCUAACACAUGCAAGUCGAACAAGACCUUCGGGUCUAGUGGCGCACGGGUGCGUAACGCGUGGGAAUCUACCCUUGGGUUCGGAAUAACAGUUGGAAACGACUGCUAAUACCGGAUGAUGACGUAAGUCCAAAGAUUUAUCGCCCAGGGAUGAGCCCGCGUAGGAUUAGCUAGUUGGUGGGGUAAAGGCUCACCAAGGCGACGAUCCUUAGCUGGUCUGAGAGGAUGAUCAGCCACACUGGGACUGAGACACGGCCCAGACUCCUACGGGAGGCAGCAGUGGGGAAUAUUGGACAAUGGGCGAAAGCCUGAUCCAGCAAUGCCGCGUGAGUGAUGAAGGCCUUAGGGUUGUAAAGCUCUUUUACCCGGGAAGAUAAUGACUGUACCGGAGAAUAAGCUCGGCUAACUCCGUGCCAGCAGCCGC
RNAcentral lists this ribosomal RNA (444 nucleotides) under uncultured soil bacterium. RNAcentral describes it as "bacterial SSU rRNA". It matches the Rfam family "Bacterial small subunit ribosomal RNA", at positions 26 to 518 of the family's 1533-position model. The record is from RNAcentral.